Molecule: ribosomal RNA, 469 nt
Filed under: uncultured bacterium
Lineage: Bacteria
Description: partial 16S ribosomal RNA
Rfam family: Bacterial small subunit ribosomal RNA
Source: RNAcentral
GACGAACGCUGGCGGCGUGCUUAACACAUGCAAGUCGAACGGAAAGGCCCUGCUUGCAGGGUGCUCGAGUGGCGAAAGGGUGAGUAACACGUGGGUGAACUGCCCCUUACUUUGGGAUAAGCCUGGAAAACUGGGUCUAAUACUGGAUAGGACCAUGCUGUAGGCGGUGUGGUGGAAGGAUAAGUUUCGGUAAGGGGUGAGCUCGCGGCCUAUAAGCUCGUUGGUGGGGUAAUGGCCGAAAAAGACGUCGACGGGUAGCCGGCCUCCGAGGGUGGACGGCGGCAUUGGUAGUGAGGUAAGGCCCAGACGCCUACGAGAGGCAGCAGUAGGGAAUAUUGCACAAUAGGCGCAAGCCUCAUGCAGCGGCGCCGCGGGGGGGGUGACGGCCUUCGGGUUGUAAACUCCUUUCUUCCAUGACGAAGCCGUUGUGGUGACGGUAGUGGUAGAAGAAGCACCGGCUAACUACGUG